Long non-coding RNA from Gopherus flavomarginatus (Mexican gopher tortoise), 1058 nucleotides. RefSeq lists it as uncharacterized. The record is from RefSeq and is a predicted model, not a curated record. Lineage: Eukaryota; Metazoa; Chordata; Testudines; Testudinidae. The transcript is spliced from 3 exons.
UUUUAGCUUGUGCACAGGCAUGAAGGGGACAGAGAGAGUUCCUGCUGAAAUGACUAAUUUUUUUUUUUAUUUUUCUUUUUUGCAGAGGGAAAAGUCCCCUUCGACCCAGUAUCAAAUUUGUUGAUUGCGUGGCUCUGUUCAUUUCAUCCCAGUAUUUUCUGUUUGAUGACAGACCGAACUGCCGUCAAGUGAACAAGUGUUAUCUCUCCUAUGCAUUACCAGUCUGGUAAUCAGCAGGGAACCUGGCAAGUGGAACUAAGAACAAGGACAAAGUAAUCUUCUCUCAGAGGCCCAGUGCCAAGAGACAGAGCUGCCAGCCUGCCAGCAGCAGCAGCGCUUCCACCAGGGAGUCAGAGCAGGAGCUCCUCUUUCCCACAGCUGUUUCCACUGUACUUCUAAGCUGAGAAGAAGUGAAGCACCAAGAAUCCACUUCAGAUGGGCACAGAAAAUCCCCCAGUGUGGAUUCCCCGUGACUGCAGCAAGCAAAAAACUACCUAACACACUAGGGUCAUGAAGGCUCCCGCAGAUGGCACAUAUACUUUGGAGUAUGGAGAAGGAGAAUAUCUUCCUCAAAAGAUCUGCUGAUUCCAAAGUCGGACGUGGCCUGACGGUAAAUGGGUCCAUAACAAUAAGUCUGACAAUCCCUGAGCAAUUGGAGUUGGCAUUUCCUGGCACGUACAACCAGGAUGGCCAGGCAGUUCUGAGUGGUGGCCAAGCAAAGCUACAAGCAAGUCAACAUGAUAGCCAAGGAUAGUUCUGAACUGCCAUUUUCCUGUCUUAUGUAUAAAGAGAAGUAGAAGCUGUGAAAUAUUUCAGCCCCAUGUACUACCCUGAUUUUAUCACGACUGUAUUUUCUUCUUGAUUCAAAUAAAAAUAGGUAGCUCCUCACAGUCCAAGAUGCUUACUAUUUUACAUACCAAGGCACCUGAACCCCCUGCUGACCAGGUCCAAACAAAAGACUACGUACUGCAGUGGAACUACUUUGAUUUUUAAAACUUUACUCCAAAAGGUCCCCAGGAACCAGGUUCUAAAGUAAAAUGCUUUUCACAUUAAAAGUU